This is a transfer RNA of 71 nucleotides. It matches the Rfam family "tRNA". From Rfam's summary of the family: Transfer RNA (tRNA) molecules are approximately 80 nucleotides in length. Their secondary structure includes four short double-helical elements and three loops (D, anti-codon, and T loops). The record is from Rfam.
UUGCCUUUAGUUUAAUGGUAGAACCGUAUUUUUCUAAAAUACUUGUUUUAGUUCGAAUCUGGAAGGGCAAG